CCUACGGGAGGCAGCAGUGGGGAAUAUUGGACAAUGGGCGAAAGCCUGAUCCAGCAAUGCCGCGUGAGUGAUGAAGGCCUUAGGGUUGUAAAGCUCUUUUACCCGGGAUGAUAAUGACAGUACCGGGAGAAUAAGCUCCGGCUAACUCCGUGCCAGCAGCCGCGGUAAUACGGAGGGAGCUAGCGUUGUUCGGAAUUACUGGGCGUAAAGCGUACGUAGGCGGUUAUUCAAGUCAGAGGUGAAAGCCUGGAGCUCAACUCCAGAACUGCCUUUGAAACUAGGUAGCUAGAAUCUUGGAGAGGUUAGUGGAAUUCCGAGUGUAGAGGUGAAAUUCGUAGAUAUUCGGAAGAACACCAGUGGCGAAGGCGACUAACUGGACAAGUAUUGACGCUGAGGUACGAAAGCGCGGGGAGCAAACAGGAUUAGAUACCCUGGUAGUCCACGCCGUAAACGAUGAUAACUAGCUGUUCGGGCUCUACGAGCUUGAGUGGCGCAGCUACGACAUAAGUUAUCCGUCCGUCGGGUAGGUACGGUCGCGAGAAGUUAAACGUAACGAAAGGAAGUUAGUAACGGUCGUGUUAGACGUGCCGAACGGACGACGACGAGGGAGGAGG
RNAcentral lists this ribosomal RNA (614 nucleotides) under uncultured bacterium. Its description in RNAcentral is "bacterial SSU rRNA". The stretch from base 1 to 517 matches the Rfam family "Bacterial small subunit ribosomal RNA", at positions 338 to 873 of the family's 1533-position model. The record is from RNAcentral.